This 253-nucleotide ribosomal RNA is filed under the name uncultured bacterium. RNAcentral describes it as "partial 16S ribosomal RNA". It matches the Rfam family "Bacterial small subunit ribosomal RNA", at positions 524 to 776 of the family's 1533-position model. The record is from RNAcentral.
UACGUAGGUGGCAAGUGUUAUCCGGAAUUAUUGGGCGUAAAGAGCGCGCAGGUGGUUAAUUAAGUCUGAUGUGAAAGCCCACGGCUUAACCGUGGAGGGUCAUUGGAAACUGGUUGACUUGAGUGCAGAAGAGGGAAGUGGAAUUCCAUGUGUAGCGGUGAAAUGCGUAGAGAUAUGGAGGAACACCAGUGGCGAAGGCGGCUUCCUGGUCUGCAACUGACACUGAGGCGCGAAAGCGUGGGGAGCAAACAGG